This is a non-coding RNA of Biomphalaria pfeifferi, 232 nucleotides long. NCBI's taxonomy places the organism in Eukaryota, Metazoa, Mollusca, Gastropoda, Planorbidae. The record is from the annotation of a GenBank genome assembly.
GUGGUCAGAAAAUUCUUUUGUUUUGUUAAGUCAGUAUCUUAAGUUCUCUACCCCCUCCAAUUUUUUUUAAAAUAAAUAUUUUCAAUGGCAUAACUCUAUACUAUAAACUUCUUUUAUGCUAUGCAUACAGUUAGUUUGUCUACAAGUAAGAACGUCAUACAAAUACCUAUUCAAUUCUUUAUAUCUUAUCUUACAUUAUACAGACGUUACUUCAAAAAAAGAAGAUGAUUAC